This 381-nucleotide long non-coding RNA is filed under the name Vigna radiata. RNAcentral's name for it is "long non-coding RNA (VRAD_LNC017371)". Lineage: Eukaryota; Viridiplantae; Streptophyta; Magnoliopsida; Fabales; Fabaceae. The record is from RNAcentral.
GAAAAGAAAAUAAGUAUAAAUCUAUAUGGUUUUUUUAAGAAGUCGAUAUUUUUUAGGGUUGGUUAUUGAGGAAGUAUAAAUAGAAGGGAAACAGGAAGACUCUGGGAAAAAAACAAGGAAAAACUUUUAGAGAAGGAGGAAAAGGAAAAGGAAGGAGAGGCUGUGACGUGAAGAAGCUUCAGAGGGGAAGAAAGGACAUGAAGAGGGAGACCUUGAGGCUACGUGAGACAAAGAAGAAAGUUAAAACUCAAAUUGACAAGGGGGAGUUAAUCUGAGUUUAUUUUUAUUAUAAGGUUGCUAUUUGGAAUUUGUAUAUCCAUUGAUUGAGUUCUUUGAAGGAAUUAGAAAUGAUGUAGGCUCUCUUAUAAAAUUUAAGAAUUA